Molecule: ribosomal RNA, 103 nt
Filed under: Didymoplexis pallens
Lineage: Eukaryota; Viridiplantae; Streptophyta; Magnoliopsida; Asparagales; Orchidaceae
Description: 4.5S ribosomal RNA
Source: RNAcentral
UAAGGUCACGGCGAGACGAUCCGUUUACCUUGAAAAUAGGUGCCAGGUGUAAGUACAGCAAUGUAUGCAGCCGAGGCAUCCUAAUAGACCGAUAGAUUUGAAC